Long non-coding RNA from Tachyglossus aculeatus (Australian echidna), 520 nucleotides. RefSeq lists it as uncharacterized. The record is from RefSeq and is a predicted model, not a curated record. The transcript has 4 exons. Lineage: Eukaryota; Metazoa; Chordata; Mammalia; Monotremata; Tachyglossidae.
GGCGGCCCCAGCUUCGUCACCCCGCCUGGCCCGGGAAGCCCCAGGGAGGCAGCAACCGGCCUCGGGCUCCUUGAGGAGGCAGGCCUCGCCCCGAGCAAGACUGAGUCAAGCCAGCUGAGUCAUCCAACACCCCCUAUCAUGGACCUAAAUCCUCAACACCAGAAGACUGCAAUCAAGAGGGCAGAGAUACGUGGAGCCAGGGUGACAGUCAUCCCGGGACACUGCACAGGAGUUCUGGGGCAGUCAGAAUGUGGCUGGAAAUUCCCAGGCAUGAGUCAAUUCAACUUGGCAGGGGGUGGGGCUGCCGCCACUUCCACCCAGUGGCCCCAGCACUCCCAGCAGCACCAGUUGCCCUCCAUCAUUGCCACCUGCCCCUGAACAGAAACGACGGUGGUGGCCCCAUCCCAGCUGAACCAGGCGGCCUUCAUUAACGUUUGCCAGCGUGUCCGGGACAAACACUGUCAAUGGCUGGCAUUCUCGCUCUACAGCAAUAUGGCUUGGGGAGUUUAGGAACCAGGAG